RNAcentral lists this transfer RNA (75 nucleotides) under Bacillota bacterium. Its description in RNAcentral is "Firmicutes bacterium tRNA-Glu". It matches the Rfam family "tRNA". From Rfam's summary of the family: Transfer RNA (tRNA) molecules are approximately 80 nucleotides in length. Their secondary structure includes four short double-helical elements and three loops (D, anti-codon, and T loops). Further hydrogen bonds mediate the characteristic L-shaped molecular structure. tRNAs have two regions of fundamental functional importance: the anti-codon, which is responsible for specific mRNA codon recognition, and the 3' end, to which the tRNAs corresponding amino acid is attached (by aminoacyl-tRNA synthetases). tRNAs cope with the degeneracy of the genetic code in two manners: having more than one tRNA (with a specific anti-codon) for a particular amino acid; and 'wobble' base-pairing, i.e. permitting non-standard base-pairing at the 3rd anti-codon position. The record is from RNAcentral. RNAcentral also lists the same sequence under 1 other name. Lineage: Bacteria; Bacillati; Bacillota.
GGGGGUAUCGUCUAGCCUGGCCAAGGAUACCGCCCUCUCAAGGCGGAGACACGGGUUCAAAUCCCGUUACCCCUA